CUGUGGCUAAGCGGAGAAUAAGGCGCAACCCUAUCAGCUUGUUGGUAGUGUAAAGGACUACCAAGGCUAUGACGGGUAACGGGAAAUCAGGGUUUGAUUCCGGAGAGGGAGCCUGAGAGAUGGCUCCCACGUCCAAGGACGGCAGCAGGCGCGAAACUUGUCCACUCCUUACUGGGGAGACAGUCAUGAGACGUGAGUAUAAGACCUGAGUGUAAAGACCUUAGGGUGAAGCAAUUGGAGGGCAAGCUUUGGUGCCAGCAGCCGCGGUAACUCCAACUCCAAGAGUGUCUAUGGUGGAUGCUGCAGUUAAAGGGUCCGUAGUCGUGAAUGCAAUUAAAUGUCGUUGUUCAAUAGCGAUGAGUUUGCUAAUGUUUGCGGAACGGAUAGGGAAGUGUAGA
RNAcentral lists this ribosomal RNA (398 nucleotides) under Microsporidia sp. Its description in RNAcentral is "SSU rRNA". It matches the Rfam family "Microsporidia small subunit ribosomal RNA", at positions 138 to 549 of the family's 1311-position model. Lineage: Eukaryota; Fungi; Microsporidia. The record is from RNAcentral.